Non-coding RNA from Silurus meridionalis, 570 nucleotides. NCBI's taxonomy places the organism in Eukaryota, Metazoa, Chordata, Actinopteri, Siluriformes, Siluridae. The record is from the annotation of a RefSeq genome assembly.
GCUACCAUGACUUUGAUCCCCGUCUUCAUCUGGACACUGAUCCUCUGGACUCAAGAAUGCAGAGGUCAAGCAACAGUAACUCAGACUCCUGCAGUGAAAUCUGUUCUUCCAGGAGAAACAGUCACCAUCAACUGUAAAACCAGUCCAGCAGUGUAUAGCAACAACUACUUACACUGGUAUCAGCAGAAAACUGGAGAAGCUCCUAAACUACUGAUUAAACUUGCCAAUCAGUUACAGUCGGGUUUUCCAGCUCGUUUCAGUGGCAGUGGAUCUGGAUCUGAUUUCACUCUGACCAUCAGUGGAGUCCAGACUGAAGAUGCAGGAGAUUAUUACUGUCAAAGUGAACAUUCCAUCUCAGGCUACUGGUUCACACAGUGAUAUAGAGUCGUACAAAAACCUCCCUCAGUCAGAUAGUAGAGAAACUGCACUGCUGCAGCUGGGAGCGACUGCAGGUGCUGAGUUGGAGGAUGUGAUACACACAAACACACAAAUUCCUAAUUAACAGACGCAACCAUCAGGGUUUUUACUUUGAUUAGUGUCUGUGUGUUUAAUCUGUUGGUCUCAGAACAU